RNAcentral lists this small nuclear RNA (22 nucleotides) under Arabidopsis thaliana (thale cress). RNAcentral describes it as "snRNA_05006". The record is from RNAcentral. Lineage: Eukaryota; Viridiplantae; Streptophyta; Magnoliopsida; Brassicales; Brassicaceae.
ACGAGGACUUCCCGGGAGGUCU